This 20-nucleotide microRNA is filed under the name Drosophila virilis. RNAcentral's name for it is "dvi-miR-9712-3p". The record is from miRBase by way of RNAcentral. Lineage: Eukaryota; Metazoa; Arthropoda; Insecta; Diptera; Drosophilidae.
AAGAUUGACGGCUGAGUAGG